Molecule: ribosomal RNA, 443 nt
Filed under: uncultured bacterium
Lineage: Bacteria
Description: partial 16S ribosomal RNA
Rfam family: Bacterial small subunit ribosomal RNA
Source: RNAcentral
CCUACGGGAGGCAGCAGUGGGGAAUAUUGGGCAAUGGGCGCAAGCCUGACCCAGCAACGCCGCGUGUAGGAAGAAGGCUUUCGGGUUGUAAACUUCUUUUAUCAGGGACGAAGCAAGUGACGGUACCUGAGUAAUAAGCCACGGCUAACUACGUGCCAGCAGCCGCGGUAAUACGUAGGUGGCAAGCGUUAUCCGGAUUUACUGGGUGUAAAGGGCGUGUAGGCGGGGCUGCAAGUCAGAUGUGAAAACCACGGGCUCAACCUGUGGCCUGCAUCUGAUACUGUAGGUCUUGAGUACUGGAGAGGCAGACGGAAUUCCUAGUGUAGCGGUGAAAUGCGUAGAGAUUAGGAGGAAUACCAGUGGCGAAGGCGGUCCGCUGGACAGAAACUGACGCUGAGGCGCGAAAGCGUGGGGAGCAAACAGGAUUAGAUACCCCUGUAGUC